GAUAAAAAAACAAACACUUUUUUUGUCCUUAUUAUGUACAUUUUUUUUUCUUCUUCUUAUUCAUUGGAUUGAUGAAAUUAGAAAUCAGGCAGUGCUCCUGAAUGAACCUAGAGCUUUAAUUGCGCCUGCACGGAGGACAAACUGGUGGUAGAAGGCCGCGAUGAACGCUCCAAUAAAUGGACCAACCCAGAAAAUCCAAUGUUCGUCCCAC
RNAcentral lists this unclassified non-coding RNA (211 nucleotides) under Hevea brasiliensis (rubber tree). The record is from RNAcentral. Lineage: Eukaryota; Viridiplantae; Streptophyta; Magnoliopsida; Malpighiales; Euphorbiaceae.